RNAcentral lists this ribosomal RNA (692 nucleotides) under uncultured bacterium. RNAcentral describes it as "bacterial SSU rRNA". It matches the Rfam family "Bacterial small subunit ribosomal RNA", at positions 620 to 1313 of the family's 1533-position model. The record is from RNAcentral.
CGUGCCAUUGAUACUGUUUGGCUUGAGUACAGUUGAGGUAGGUGGAAUGUGUAGUGUAGCGGUGAAAUGCAUAGAUAUUACACAGAACUCCGAUUGCGAAGGCAUCUUACUAAGCUGAGACUGACACUGAUGUACGAAAGCGUGGGGAUCGAACAGGAUUAGAUACCCUGGUAGUCCACGCCGUAAACGAUGCUCACUGGCUGUAUGCGAUAUAUUGUAUGUGGCCAAGCGAAAGCGCUAAGUGAGCCACCUGGGGAGUACGCCGGCAACGGUGAAACUCAAAGGAAUUGACGGGGGCCCGCACAAGCGGAGGAACAUGUGGUUUAAUUCGAUGAUACGCGAGGAACCUUACCUGGGCUUAAAUGGGAGCAGACGGAUUUGGAAACAGGUCUCUCUUCGGACUGCUUUCAAGGUGCUGCAUGGUUGUCGUCAGCUCGUGCCGUGAGGUGUCGGGUUAAGUCCCAUAACGAGCGCAACCCCUACCGAUAGUUACCAUCAGGUCAAGCUGGGGGACUCUAUCGGGACUGCCACCGUAAGGUGCGAGGAAGGCGGGGGAUGACGUCAAAUCAGCACGGCCCUUAUGUCCAGGACUACACACGUGUUACAAUGGGCUGUACAGAGGGCAGCUACCCUGCGAGGGGAUGCUAAUCUUAUAAAUCCGGUCUCAGUUCAGGAUCGGAAGUCUGCACCGA